RNAcentral lists this ribosomal RNA (443 nucleotides) under uncultured bacterium. RNAcentral describes it as "partial 16S ribosomal RNA". It matches the Rfam family "Bacterial small subunit ribosomal RNA", at positions 338 to 795 of the family's 1533-position model. The record is from RNAcentral.
CCUACGUGAGGCAGCAGUGGGGGAUAUUGGACAAUGGGGGAAACCCUGAUCCAGCGACGCCGCGUGAGUGAAGAAGUAUUUCGGUAUGUAAAGCUCUAUCAGCAGGGAAGAAAGAAAUGACGGUACCUGAGGAAGAAGCCCCGGCUAACUACGUGCCAGCAGCCGCGGGAAUACGUAGGGGGCAAGCGUUAUCCGGAAUUACUGGGUGUAAAGGGAGCGUAGACGGUAAUGCAAGUCUGGAGUGAAAGGCGGGGGCCCAACCCCCGGACUGCUCUGGAAACUGUGUAACUGGAGUGCAGGAGAGGCAGGCGGAAUUCCUAGUGUAGCGGUGAAAUGCGUAGAUAUUAGGAGGAACACCAGUGGCGAAGGCGGCCUGCUGGACUGUAACUGACGUUGAGGCUCGAAAGCGUGGGGAGCAAACAGGAUUAGAUACCCCUGUAGUC